GUCAUAUCUUACAGAAUUUAAGUCAGUAUACUGACUUGUAGACGACUCACUGAGGAUGAACACAGUCAAAUCAUCAUCUAAAGCUUAAAGGUCAAAGUCGUUGUAAUCGUUAAUUGGUUUGCCGACAAGGUCUUCUUCGGAACCUAGAACCUGAACUAUGGAGGGCAAAUUUUUGGACUCCGUGUUCGAACUUCACACUCCGCGUCGUCCAGUUUCUCUCCUCGUUUCUGGCAUCGAUCAGAUGGCACUAUUUCAACGUGUGCCAUACACAUAACUAAGUAUCAUUUUACGGUUUUAAGUAUGAGCUGUACAAACAGACUUAUGAAAAUGAGUAAAGCGCAUUUUACAACUUCAGUUAAUGACUCAGCUCUAUAGAGUUUUCAGAAAAUAAGUUUCAAAUUUCGUACGAGCGAAUUUCUAUAAUGUAUAUGCAAUGUGUUUGCGACGAAUCAACUCGAUUCACAUCAUUUGACAAAGCUUUUCCACUCGAAAUAAAGGACAGGUCAAGUUUUAAAAAAGAAAAUCCACUUCUGUACUACACGGUCAUAAUUACCAUUUCAUUAUGUAUAUUCAUACGAAAUCGUGCUGUGGAUCAGCCUCCCGUCUGUUAGUGAGUUUUUCCCCGGUUGGCCAACAAAACUUCCAAUUUUGUAGAUGUUUGCUGUUUUAUAAAUGACUUUAUAUGGGAAAGUGCGUUAAGCUUCCCACUGAUUGAAAAAUUUGAACGGAAUUCAAAGAGAUGGGUGCUCAAUGCAACCGACUACCGCAUUCUUCAGUGGCGAACGGUGUAUUAAAUAUCUAUGAAUUUACACCCCGUAGAGAUGUUUUUACUUUUCUCAUUGAACCUGUCGUUGUAUCGCAGUAAUCUACUUUGAUAAGAUUUUCGUUUGUUUCCCAUAUCACGCGGGUUUGUGCAGAUUCGUAAAUGCAUCAUAGACCUAAUUCGUCUGGUGAACAGUCUGGGGUUGUUUUUACCCAAGUUCGUUAAAGGUUUCCUGACAGAGGACGUAAGACCUGAUGGAUAACACAGGGUAUAAUUGGAUUAUUGAACACAAUAGGUCUCUCUACCAUAUUGGAAAUUUUCGACAUGCCUAGAUAUCACUCGUUGAUCUAAGAAUGCGUCUAAUCUUGACUGAUGUGUCUUCGGUGUCUCAAGGUCAAGCAUUCGUCAAUAAAGAAUAUUCGCGUUGCUAUAAAUGACAAAAACUGGCACGUGUGUCUCGCUGGCGUGCUAACUUCAUUAAGAACAGGAUGUUUGUGUAUAUUAGACCAAUAUUAGAUACAAAUAUACGAAAAUUAGAGCGUUUUAUUACCUAACGUGCGGUCUUUAACUAUUCUCAAUCUUCCUUUUUUGCGAUUCGGUUUUUUCAAUAAUCUAUGACAAAACAUAUUAUUCGGUGAACGACGUAGUUGAUUACGUGUUGUGUAAUUCAUUUCGUAAGCAUUACGUAAGCGGAAGAACUUUGUAUUUUAUCGUAAAUCCUAUUGAACGUGUAAGUUGUUUUUUUGUCGCAAAAUAUCUUAGAAAAUCUGGAUCAAGGUGAUAAGAGAAGUUUUUGGUGAAGUUAAGGAAGAUAAACUGCGAACACAACAUAUGCCUAUUUUCCUAUUUUCACUUGCACACUUGCUGUGAACAUAUUUCGGUGGAAUUUUAAAACACAAGUACGCUGCUUUUGGUCUUCGGCAAGACCGACACGUGAAUAUGACACGAAGACUGUAAAGAAACGAAACUCUAAAGUUCAAAACAGAUAAACUUCACGUCCAUCACGAGUCGUUUUAAGCAACUAAACACAAGGUCACAAGAAGUAAGGACGCCCACUCUUGUAGUGAAAUUCAUCACAAGUUAUGAUCAGGUUCAAACAUACAGCAACGUGUAUUUCAACGCUGUGCAAAAAACAUAUCUCUCUACUGGAGACAUGAGAAAACCUAUGACUACGACGCCUUGUUAAAGAUCAUAAGAAGCUUUUUUAUUUUCCUAAACACAGCAGGUUCUCAUUGUCAAUUUUAUAACUUCAUUCAUCAUAUUGUAAAUUUUCCUAUUUGCAGGGGGCAGGCAUUAAGGAUCGAACCGUGAACGAGGACCUUAAAAUGGAAAGUGAGGGGCAACAUUGUCAAGAGAAUUGACAAUAAGGACGGCUGGGCGGAGCACUCAGGCGAAAAAGAUUGGUUUACAAUUAAAGAUGUUGAAUGCAGUAUUUCAGUGACGUUUCAAGCAAAAGUUACUUUACAAGAACGUAGUUUUUGAAUUCAUGAAUUUGCACUUCUUCAUUGACAGACGAGUUCUAAAUCGCUGAAGUUACUAGGAUAUAAAGAUGAAAUACUUACGCAGAAUUUUAUACCAUUAACACAUCACGAAGACAAGAACUAUAACAUCUGAACUAGCUUAUCGGCAAAUAUUGUAAAUUAAUUUAGUAAAAAAAACUUUAACUUAAUUAUCUUGUGUAAAUUUAGACACGCAAUUCAGUCUGUAGGCUGCCAUGUGUUAAUUUUAUUAAACUAUCUAUCUUCCUGUCUA
Long non-coding RNA from Xenia sp. Carnegie-2017, 2515 nucleotides. RefSeq lists it as uncharacterized. The transcript is spliced from 3 exons. Lineage: Eukaryota; Metazoa; Cnidaria; Anthozoa; Malacalcyonacea; Xeniidae. The record is from RefSeq and is a predicted model, not a curated record.